UCCCUGGUGGUCUAGGGGUUAGGAUUCAGCACUUUCAUGGAUGAGGCCCUGGUUCAAUCCCUGGUCAGGGGA
Transfer RNA from Sus scrofa (pig), 72 nucleotides. It matches the Rfam family "tRNA". From Rfam's summary of the family: Transfer RNA (tRNA) molecules are approximately 80 nucleotides in length. Their secondary structure includes four short double-helical elements and three loops (D, anti-codon, and T loops). The record is from Rfam. NCBI's taxonomy places the organism in Eukaryota, Metazoa, Chordata, Mammalia, Artiodactyla, Suidae.